Molecule: non-coding RNA, 27 nt
Filed under: Rattus norvegicus (Norway rat)
Lineage: Eukaryota; Metazoa; Chordata; Mammalia; Rodentia; Muridae
Source: RNAcentral
UCUCGUCACGUGCAGAUCACUGAUGGA